AUGACUAUGCUACUGUGGUUUAAGAGUUUACUAUGCUAUACUUUUCAUUGUUACAUUGAAGCAUACUUCUACCUAAAAAGUUCAGCCUGGGUAACAGAGCAAGACCCUGUCUCUAAAAACACGUGUUUUUUGUUUGUUUGUUUGUUUUUUCUUUGUUUCCUUUGUUUUGAGACAGAGUUUCCCUCUUUUCACCCAGGCUGGACUCUAUCUCAAAAAACUAACAAACAAAAAUUUAAACAUUUGCCUUUCCCUUGGAGAUCAUUAAUUCUUUAUGUGUCAGCAGCUUCCAGGAAUAUUAUGCAAUAUAUGUAAAUAUUAUAAAUUAGCAGCCUCCAGAAAUGCAUUUUGUAGUAACCACUAGAGCAUUUUUAAAAAUUUAUAUGGGCCGGGCGCGGUGGCUCAAGCCUGUAAUCCUAGCACUUUGGGAGGCCGAGACGGGUGGAUCACGAGGUCAGGAGAUCGGA
Molecule: long non-coding RNA, 464 nt
Filed under: Cercocebus atys (sooty mangabey)
Lineage: Eukaryota; Metazoa; Chordata; Mammalia; Primates; Cercopithecidae
Description: lncRNA (ENSCATG00000045827.1)
Source: RNAcentral